RNAcentral lists this ribosomal RNA (664 nucleotides) under Klebsiella variicola. RNAcentral's name for it is "bacterial SSU rRNA". It matches the Rfam family "Bacterial small subunit ribosomal RNA", at positions 46 to 702 of the family's 1533-position model. Lineage: Bacteria; Pseudomonadati; Pseudomonadota; Gammaproteobacteria; Enterobacterales; Enterobacteriaceae. The record is from RNAcentral.
GCCUAACACAUGCAGUCGAGCGGUAGCACAGAGAGCUUGCUCUCGGGUGACGAGCGGCGGACGCGUUAGUAAUGUCUGGGAAACUGCCUGAUGGAGGGGGAUAACUACUGGAAACGGUAGCUAAUACCGCAUAACGUCGCAAGACCAAAGUGGGGGACCUUCGGGCCUCAUGCCAUCAGAUGUGCCCAGAUGGGAUUAGCUGGUAGGUGGGGUAACGGCUCACCUAGGCGACGAUCCCUAGCUGGUCUGAGAGGAUGACCAGCCACACUGGAACUGAGACACGGUCCAGACUCCUACGGGAGGCAGCAGUGGGGAAUAUUGCACAAUGGGCGCAAGCCUGAUGCAGCCAUGCCGCGUGUGUGAAGAAGGCCUUCGGGUUGUAAAGCACUUUCAGCGGGGAGGAAGGCGGUGAGGUUAAUAACCUCAUCGAUUGACGUUACCCGCAGAAGAAGCACCGGCUAACUCCGUGCCAGCAGCCGCGGUAAUACGGAGGGUGCAAGCGUUAAUCGGAAUUACUGGGCGUAAAGCGCACGCAGGCGGUCUGUCAAGUCGGAUGUGAAAUCCCCGGGCUCAACCUGGGAACUGCAUUCGAAACUGGCAGGCUAGAGUCUUGUAGAGGGGGGUAGAAUUCCGGGUGUAGCGGUGAAAUGCGUAGAAAGCUGGA